GUUGACACAGUAUUCCAGUGUGUAGAGUUAUCUUUAAAUAAAUUGAUGGUUGCAGGGUCUUAGUCCACCCGUACGAGGAUGGACUGGGUUCAAGGAAAGGUAAGUGCACCGCUCGCCCAUUUCCCAGCCUAGAGAACCCGGAGAUAAGCAGACGCAGCGGGGAGCCAAGUCAAGCAGGGACUUUAUUUUGCACGUAACAGAGCCUUUUAAAGCACAAAACUGCAGAGUCAUUGGGGCAGGGCAAAAGAAAACCGUCAUUUUACGGGGCAAUUUUUAUAGGACUAGCCAUAUGUCUAUAUACUCGUCAUCAGUUGUCGUCACUUCCCCUGAUGUUGCGUGGCCAAUUAGCUUUGAUGGUAAACAACAUUGGAUUCCGCCCACCUUACUUCCUCUGGGCGCCAUCUUUGAAUUGUCUCGUGUGCCUAAUUUCCCCAGGAUGGUCACUAUUCAUUUGGUUUCCUGAGAGAAUUUGGCUGUUCUGGGCGCCUACCUAGUAUUGUGCCAAGAUGAGUGACUUUACUGUAGGAAAGGGUAAUGAGAAAAGCUUUUAGUAGUGACACCAGGAUAGAAAACCACAUUGGAAACAAAGAAGAUUCAAAUGUAUGGAUUGCUUUCUUCACAAAUGUUUACUGAAUAUUAGAGCUGCAUGGACACUGGAUAGUGCUAGCAAGGUAACAGGACCCUUUCUCAGGAUACUGGACAGAGGGCACUCCCAGGCAUCCAGGUGAUCACCAAGGGUAAACAAUGUUUACAGGGUGCUAUAUUGGCACCUGUGAGUGUUCAGAGUCCAUCAUUCACUUAGAGCAGACUGGACCCAACUGAAGCAGCUUCAGCUUCCCGGAGCAGCAGGGGCCCUCAGAUGAGAUCACAGACUCUCCAAUGCCAGCAUACAGCAUGUGGACCAGCCUCAGAACUCAGGGACAGAUCCAGGAGAAAGCAGGCCAGCAACUCAGGGAUUUGAAGUGGUGCACAGCCCCACAGGGCAGGAGGAAAUCCAGUGUACUCCACAACCAAAUUACAAGGUUGCCAGAACAAGAAAAAUUGCAUUGCUUCCAGGCCCUGAGCCAACCUUAUUCAGGACUCAGGAUGGAGAAAAACCAAAGACCAGACUGGGUAAAUUCUCAGUGUAAACUGCGAUAGGAGGAUGCUACAGGAAAGCCUGGAGAGAAGAUGCACCCACCCUCCAUCUCUGCAUAUUGUUACUCCAUGCUUGGCAAUGCACCCCAAGUUAAUAAUGCACUUUCAGGAUUCCUUGAACUCAGCUAUUUAGGUUAUCUUUGUAAAGUCUAUAUAAAUUUCUUAAAUAUUGCCAAACAUAGUGGGUUUUUUUUUUCAAAUAAAAAAUUAUAAAUUAGACAAUGGAGCCACUGGAUGACUGAACUCACAAAGUUUGAAAAUUAACAGAUGGUUCCACAAUAGCACUUUCUUCUUUUUUAUAUUUUGGCAAAGAUACAUUUCUCCUGUUGAAAUCAUCCAAAAAAUCCAGUUUGCUAAAAUGAAUAAACCAGAGGGAUUUAGGUGAAAUGUUCAAGGAGCUUUGCCAGCUAGAGCUACCCUGCUGCCCUUAAAGUUUUCUCUUACCCUGAACAAUUCCUAUGACACCUCAGUACCUUGAUGGCUUUUAUCUAGCUUCAUGUACAACCUUUGAAGAUAAAAUCACCUAAUUCAGGCACAGACCCCUUAGACCCCAUUGCUCAUCACUAAGAUAAGGUGUCCUUUGAAGUGAGAUAAGUUAAAGUAGGCAAUACUGGGAUUUGAGAAUAAGUAUUAUACAGAAUCUUAAAAGGCCAAAUGAAAUAAACUCUGAUUUUCUCAAUGUUUGUCUAAUAGUGAUUAAGUGCAAACCUAAACUCCAUUUGCAUUCAUGAUGGACUAAUUUUAUCAGUUUUGAAGGCUGCCUGCAUGUGGCUCUCCUUCUAAACUUCCAAAGAGAUAAAAUUGUAUGUCAACAAUAUCAGGCAUCACAAUUAAAAGACCAUUGUUUCUUCUUACACUUAAACUCUGUGCUGUGCUUCAACCUCGUUUGAUGUUAUGAGGCACUCUGAACACCUGCAAUCUUCCAACAGUUUUCUAUGCCAGGGGCAUAU
Molecule: non-coding RNA, 2087 nt
Organism: Oryctolagus cuniculus (rabbit)
Lineage: Eukaryota; Metazoa; Chordata; Mammalia; Lagomorpha; Leporidae
Source: RefSeq, a predicted model, not a curated record